This 524-nucleotide ribosomal RNA is filed under the name uncultured bacterium. Its description in RNAcentral is "bacterial SSU rRNA". It matches the Rfam family "Bacterial small subunit ribosomal RNA", at positions 28 to 545 of the family's 1533-position model. The record is from RNAcentral.
GACGAACGCUGGCGGCGUGGAUUAGGCAUGCAAGUCGGACGGUAGGGCUUUAUCGUAAGAUAGAGUUUGAGAGUGGCGGACGGGUGAGUAACGCGUGGGUAAUCUGCCCUUAAGUGGGGGAUAACAGUCGGAAACGACUGCUAAUACCGCAUAAGCUGGCGGGAACACAUGUUUCUGUCAGGAAAGGUGGCCUCUUAACAAUGCUACCGCUUAAGGAUGAGCCCGCGUCUGAUUAGCUAGUAGGUGGGGUAAUGGCCUACCUAGGCGACGAUCAGUAGCCGGCCUGAGAGGGUGUACGGCCACACUGGAACUGAGACACGGUCCAGACUCCUACGGGAGGCAGCAGUGGGGAAUAUUGCGCAAUGGGGGAAACCCUGACGCAGCGACGCCGCGUGAGCGAAGAAGGCCUCGGUUGUAAGACUCUGUUCUAGGACGAAGGACUGGCUGUGAACAAUGGUCAAGGGUAGACGGGUACCGUUACGGAGAAAGGACCCCGGCCGUAACCUAACCGUUGCCACGCAGCC